UUUGAAUCCAUUGAACAGAAUGGAAGUUUUAUUGUUUACCCAACAGGAACAGCAUUAAGUGACAUUACUGGGAGAGUGUUGGUGACAUCACAGGGAACAGAGUUAUGACAGUGAUGGAUGCUAUACUGUGUCAACAGUCUCAUGGGAUUUGACAUGCAUCUGCUAUUGAGGAAUGGAAUCUGUCUGCUGGGUAUCUUUAUGACCUUUUUCCCCACAUUACUCUGAAAGAUGCAGACACACUUGCAAGAAGUAUUUCAGCACAUGAAACUGGAAAUUUUGAAUGUUGCCUUCUGCAUGUAUAUUCAAGAUGAUUGAAAACAGUUUGACAAGUAGACAUGACUAAUUUCUCCAUUGCUAGACGCAGAAGUCAAAGUCUUCCUGGAGGUGCUGAGUGCAAGACUCAUUUCCAGAAACCUGAGAGUGGAAACACCCUUGGAGGGUAAAGAAGCCAUUCAGAAAUCACAUUUCCCAGCUGGGAGUGCACGCUCUGUAAAAUCCUUCAGUAUAAUAAAACCAGGUAAUGAAAGUGCCACAUUGGGCUGUCUCUUUUUGAUGUUGAGCAAUUGCCUAAUAAAUGGUGUCAUAAACCAGCAUUCUAAUGUGGGGUUUUAUGCCUUCUGCAUGGCUUAAUUCUCAUUAAUCAUCAACCUAAGCUCUUCAGUUACAGAGGAGCUAGUACCUGGCAGGAAAGGCAG
Molecule: long non-coding RNA, 695 nt
Filed under: Dromaius novaehollandiae (emu)
Lineage: Eukaryota; Metazoa; Chordata; Aves; Casuariiformes; Dromaiidae
Description: lncRNA (ENSDNVG00000014221.1)
Source: RNAcentral